This is a long non-coding RNA of Austrofundulus limnaeus, 195 nucleotides long. RefSeq lists it as uncharacterized. The transcript is spliced from 3 exons. Lineage: Eukaryota; Metazoa; Chordata; Actinopteri; Cyprinodontiformes; Rivulidae. The record is from RefSeq and is a predicted model, not a curated record.
UCUCUGUCUCUGUCUUUUCACAAAGGGGUUUAACGACUUCAUGCAGUAAGAUGUGCCUCUCUCAAAGGUUUCCACUUCCUUUCUCAUCCACGCUUCACCAGCGAAGCCUGAAAAGGACCUGAACACGUUCCUUCAGGCAGAUUAUUUUAGUUUAAAAUCCUAAGCUUUUUGAAUGAUAACACUCACAACACUCCA